Oncorhynchus kisutch (coho salmon) is the source of this 1893-nucleotide long non-coding RNA. Lineage: Eukaryota; Metazoa; Chordata; Actinopteri; Salmoniformes; Salmonidae. The record is from Ensembl.
AUGGCAGAAGAGGAAAGAAGGGAUAUCCUUGAGUACAAGAGGGGUGAGUUAGAGAAGGAAGAUGACAAGGAGGACAUUCUCCCACCUGAUAAAAGUAUCCGAAGGAGAGCUGUGGGCUGGGUGAAUAAGAAGUGGGAGAAGAGGAACCUCAGAAAGAUAGAGAGAACGUAUCAGAGAGAGGCUGAGGAGGGCUAUAAGAUCGUCCACAUAGUCAUCCCUGGACCCAUAAGGCUAACCAUGACCCGGGCAGAGAGAGAGAGGAAGGAGCUCCUGAAGACUGAGGAGAGAAGGAAUAAGAUGGAUGAUUGCAGUGGAGAGAGCAGUCCCUGCUUAAUAAACGGACUCAUCAGAAACUUAAAGAGAGGGAGAGGAUGAAGGAACAGUACCUAAAAAAACAAGCAAGAGAUUUAAGAUGGGGUAAAGAAUGUUUAAAAAUGUAUUCAUGUUUUACACUGUUAUAUAUAUGUUAUAUAGCAUUCCUGCUGUCUGUUGAGAGCUGGAACUCGACGAAGCCACAGUACCACUGAGGACCACUUCUCUACUCAAUCUUUACUAAUGAUUUACCUUCAGUAAUGAACAAAGCAAGAGUGGUCAUGUAUGCUGAUGAUUCUGCAAUGUAUAGUGCAGCAUCAGAAUGUAAUGAGCUAACAAAUGUACUGAGCAGUGUCCGGUUAUAUGGUCAAUCCCUGGUCCUAUCACACUUAGAGUACUGUCCGGUUAUAUGGUCAAUCCCUGGUCCUAUCACACUUAGAGUACUGUCCGGUUAUAUGGUCAAUCCCUGGUCCUAUCACACUUAGAGUACUGUCCAGUUAUAUGGUCAAUCCCUGGUCCUAUCACACUUAGAGUACUGUCCGGUUAUAUGGUCAAUCCCUGGUCCUAUCACACUUAGAGUACUGUCCAGUUAUAUGGUCAAUCCCUGGUCCUAUCACACUUAGAGUACUGUCCAGUUAUAUGGUCAAUCCCUGGUCCUAUCACACUUAGAGUACUGUCCGGUUAUAUGGUCAAUCCCUGGUCCUAUCACACUUAGAGUACUGUCCAGUUAUAUGGUCAAUCCCUGGUCCUAUCACACUUAGAGUACUGUCCAGUUAUAUGGUCAAUCCCUGGUCCUAUCACACUUAGAGUACUGUCCAGUUAUAUGGUCAAUCCCUGGUCCUAUCACACUUAGAGUACUGUCCAGUUAUAUGGUCAAUCCCUGGUCCUAUCACACUUAGAGUACUGUCCAGUUAUAUGGUCAAUCCCUGGUCCUAUCACACUUAGAGUACUGUCCAGUUAUAUGGUCAAUCCCUGGUCCUAUCACACUUAGAGUACUGUCCAGUUAUAUGGUCAAUCCCUGGUCCUAUCACACUUAGAGUACUGUCCGGUUAUAUGGUCAAUCCCUGGUCCUAUCACACUUAGAGUACUGUCCAGUUAUAUGGUCAAUCCCUGGUCCUAUCACACUUAGAGUACUGUCUGGUUAUAUGGUCAAUCCCUGGUCCUAUCACACUUAGAGUACUGUCUGGUUAUAUGGUCAAUCCCUGGUCCUAUCACACUUAGAGUACUGUCCAGUUAUAUGGUCAUCUGCAGCAAAGAAAUAUAUAAAAAAAAAUAUCUUCAUUGCUCUAACCAGGGCUGGUAGAUUAGCUCUUCAUUGCUCUAACCAGGGCUGGUAGAUUAGCUCUUCAUUGCUCUAAACAGGGCUGGUAGAUUAGCUCUUCAUUGCUCUAACCAGGGCUGGUAGAUUAGCUCUUCAUUGCUCUAACCAGGGCUGGUAGAUUAGCUCUUCAUUGCUCUAAACAGGGCUGGUAGAUUAGCUCUUCAUUGCUCUAACCAGGGCUGGUAGAUUAGCUCUUCAUUGCUCUAACCAGGGCUGGUAGAUUAGCUCUUCAUUGCUCUAACCAGGGCUGGUAGAUUAGC